This 468-nucleotide ribosomal RNA is filed under the name uncultured bacterium. RNAcentral describes it as "partial 16S ribosomal RNA". It matches the Rfam family "Bacterial small subunit ribosomal RNA", at positions 28 to 507 of the family's 1533-position model. The record is from RNAcentral.
GACGAACGCUGGCGGCGUGCUUAACACAUGCAAGUCGAACGGAAAGGCCCUGCUUUUGUGGGGUGCUCGAGUGGCGAACGGGUGAGUAACACGUGAGUAACCUGCCCUUGACUUUGGGAUAACUUCAAGAAACUGGGGCUAAUACCGGAUAGGAGCUCCUGCUGCAUGGUGGGGGGUGGAAAGUUUCGGCGGUUGGGGAUGGACUCGCGGCUUAUCAGCUUGUUGGGGGGGUAGUGGCUUACCAAGGCUUUGACGGGUAGCCGGCCUGAGAGGGUGACCGGCCACAUUGGGACUGAGAUACGGCCCAGACUCCUACGGGAGGCAGAAGUGGGGAAUAGUGCACAAUGGGCGGAAGCCUGAUGCAGCAACGCCGCGUGCGGGAUGACGGCCUUCGGGUUGUAAACCGCUUUCGCCUGUGACGAAGCGGGAGUGACGGUAAUGGGUAAAGAAGCACCGGCUAACUACGUG